CCUACGGGGGGCUGCAGUAGGGAAUCUUCCACAAUGGGCGAAAGCCUGAUGGAGCAACGCCGCGUGGGUGAAGAAGGUCUUCGGAUCGUAAAACCCUGUUGUUAGAGAAGAAAGUGCGUGAGAGUAACUGUUCACGUUUCGACGGUAUCUAACCAGAAAGCCACGGCUAACUACGUGCCAGCAGCCGCGGUAAUACGUAGGUGGCAAGCGUUAUCCGGAUUUAUUGGGCGUAAAGGGAACGCAGGCGGUCUUUUAAGUCUGAUGUGAAAGCCUUCGGCUUAACCGGAGUAGUGCAUUGGAAACUGGGAGACUUGAGUGCAGAAGAGGAGAGUGGAACUACAUGUGUAGCGGUGAAAUGCGUAGAUAUAUGGAAGAACACCAGUGGCGAAAGCGGCUCACUGGUCUGUAACUGACGCUGAGGUUCGAAAGCGUGGGUAGCAAACAGGAUUAGAUACCCUGGUAGUC
RNAcentral lists this ribosomal RNA (465 nucleotides) under uncultured bacterium. RNAcentral's name for it is "partial 16S ribosomal RNA". It matches the Rfam family "Bacterial small subunit ribosomal RNA", at positions 338 to 795 of the family's 1533-position model. The record is from RNAcentral.